This 422-nucleotide ribosomal RNA is filed under the name uncultured bacterium. Its description in RNAcentral is "bacterial SSU rRNA". It matches the Rfam family "Bacterial small subunit ribosomal RNA", at positions 359 to 773 of the family's 1533-position model. The record is from RNAcentral.
GAAUCUUCCACAAUGGACGAAAGUCUGAUGGAGCAAUGCCGCGUGAGUGAAGAAGGUUUUCGGAUCGUAAAGCUCUGUUGUAAGGGAAGAACAAGUACAGGAGUAACUGCCUGUACCUUGACGGUACCUUAUUAGAAAGCCACGGCUAACUACGUUCCAGCCGCCGCGGUAAUACGUAGGUGGCAAGCGUUGUCCGGAAUUAUUGGGCGUAAAGCGCGCGCAGGCGGCCUUUUAAGUCUGAUGUGAAAGCCCACGGCUCAACCGUGGAAGGUCAUUGGAAACUGAGAGGCUUGAGUACAGAAGAGGAAAGCGGAAUUCCACGUGUAGCGGUGAAAUGCGUAGAGAUGUGGAGGAACACCAGUGGCGAAGGCGGCUUUCUGGUCUGUAACUGACGCUGAGGCGCGAAAGCGUGGGGAGCAAAC